RNAcentral lists this ribosomal RNA (464 nucleotides) under Pseudomonas aeruginosa. Its description in RNAcentral is "bacterial SSU rRNA". It matches the Rfam family "Bacterial small subunit ribosomal RNA", at positions 338 to 794 of the family's 1533-position model. Lineage: Bacteria; Pseudomonadati; Pseudomonadota; Gammaproteobacteria; Pseudomonadales; Pseudomonadaceae. The record is from RNAcentral.
CCUACGGGUGGCUGCAGUAGGGAAUCUUCCACAAUGGACGCAAGUCUGAUGGAGCAACGCCGCGUGAGUGAAGAAGGGUUUCGGCUCGUAAAGCUCUGUUGUUGGUGAAGAAGGACAGGGGUAGUAACUGACCUUUGUUUGACGGUAAUCAAUUAGAAAGUCACGGCUAACUACGUGCCAGCAGCCGCGGUAAUACGUAGGUGGCAAGCGUUGUCCGGAUUUAUUGGGCGUAAAGCGAGUGCAGGCGGCUCGAUAAGUCUGAUGUGAAAGCCUUCGGCUCAACCGGAGAAUUGCAUCAGAAACUGUCGAGCUUGAGUACAGAAGAGGAGAGUGGAACUCCAUGUGUAGCGGUGAAAUGCGUAGAUAUAUGGAAGAACACCGGUGGCGAAGGCGGCUCUCUGGUCUGUUACUGACGCUGAGGCUCGAAAGCAUGGGUAGCGAACAGGAUUAGAUACCCUAGUAGU